ACUCCAGCUUUGUUUUGAACCUUUUGCUACCGUGUGCUCAGGCCACUCUAGCCAUCCAGGAACAUCACAAACAGGGUCAUCCUCCUGCCUACCUCAGGGCCUUUGCACUUGAAGCUUCCCCUACCCAGAGUGCUCUUCCAUUCCCUCAUCACCUGGCUGACUACUACUUGUCCUUCAGGUCUUAACUUGGAAAAUCACUUCCUCAGAGAAUACCCCGUUGACCAGGACUGGUCUCCCACUGUGUGACCCACUAUUUUCUUUUCAAGAAUUCAUUGUAGUUUGUAACGACUAGUUACUUGUGUGAUUAUUUGUUUAACACGAGUUAUUAUCUCUAGGUUACAAGCUUCCUGAGAGCAGAAACCAUGCCUGGUUUAGCUUAUCACUGCAUCUCCAACAGCUACCACAGUGCCUAGCACAUAGGUGACCGUCUGGGACACGGGUUCGAGUCCUGGUCCGGGAAGAUCUCACAUGCUGCAGAGCAACUAAGCCCGUGAGCCGCAACUGCUGAGCCCAUAUGCCACAACUACCGAAGCCCGUGUGCCUAGAGCCCGUGCUCCGCAACAAGAGAAGCCCACGCACUGCAACAAAGAGUAGCCCCUGCUCACCUCAACUAGAGAAAGCCUGCACUCAGCGAUGAAGACCCAACACAGCCAAAAAUAAAUAAAUAA
This is a long non-coding RNA of Orcinus orca (killer whale), 668 nucleotides long. RefSeq lists it as uncharacterized. Lineage: Eukaryota; Metazoa; Chordata; Mammalia; Artiodactyla; Delphinidae. The record is from RefSeq and is a predicted model, not a curated record. The transcript is spliced from 2 exons.